GGCAGGUGGGUGGAGCCAAGUGAAAAAGUACAGGUGGGGUCCGAAGGCUGCUUCCAGCCAGAAGUCCUGGGGUUGGGGACGAGACAGGGAGGAGGACUUUGCCGGUAGAUGGUGCCCCGGGUAAUCAUAACCACCAUCACAGCAUAAUAAAAUGGCAUUUAUCCCAAGAAGAAUUGCAAGGUGAAAAAGAACUUAACUGUAGUCGCGUGCUUGCCUCUACAAAAGGACACUGAAGACUGAACGUUCCCCUGUAACAGUUUGUGGAGCGGAGGCGGAGGUGGUGCCAGGGAAUGGAAUGCAUUUUCUGCCCCCAGACAAAGCGUGACUCCUGUAACCAGCCACGUCUAAACAUACAGGCCACAGACGACACAGGACUCAUGUCUGUCACCUA
Non-coding RNA from Vicugna pacos (alpaca), 391 nucleotides. The record is from RefSeq and is a predicted model, not a curated record. NCBI's taxonomy places the organism in Eukaryota, Metazoa, Chordata, Mammalia, Artiodactyla, Camelidae.